AUGCUUGGUUGCCUCGUGCUUGGUUGGGUCCCGGUCUCCAUGGGAUCUUUAACCUCCUCCUCUUCUGCCUUCUCCUCAAGUUCUACCUCCUCGGCCACCACCCGGGUCUCGGCCUCCUCUUUCGGCGACCCUACCAUGUACGAGGCGUUCUGGAGGGAGGCUGGGGAGCGGGCGGCGGCGGUGAUCCCCGGGUGGUGGGGGAUGAGCUACUUCUCCAACGCAGGGGGCCUCUGCUGGUACCUGGAGCCUGAGUUGGAGCGCGAGGUGCGCCGCGUCCACCGCCUCGUCGGCAACGCAAUGGCCGACGGCUACCACCUCGUGGUCGGCACUGGCACCACCCAGCUCUUCCAGGCUGCCAUGUACGCCCUAGCCCCCACCAGCACCGACCGGCCCGUCGGCGUCGUCUCUCCGGCGCCCUACUACUCGACGGACCUCCUGCUCUCGGGCUACUACCGGUGGGCGGGGGACGCCAACGCCUUCCACGGCGACCACGGCGGCGAGAACAUCGAGCUGGUCGUCUCGCCCAACAACCCCGACGGCGCCAUCCGCGAGGCCGUCCUAAGCUCCGACUCCGGCAAGGGCAAGGCGAUCCACGACCUGGUGUAUUACUGGCCUCAGUACACGCCCAUCACCAGCCCCGCCGCGCACGACAUCAUGCUCUUCACCAUGUCCAAGCUCAGCGGCCACGGCGGCACCAGGCUCGGGUGGGCGCUGGUCAAGGACAGCGAUGUGGCCAAGAAGAUGGUCUACUUCGUGUAUGGGAGCACCAUCGGCGUGUCCAAGGACUCGCAGCUCCGUGCCGCAAAGAUCCUCGGCGUCGUCUCCGACGCCUACGAACCUGGCCCCGGGGACGGCACGCAGCUCCGCCUCUUCGACUUUGCGCGACGCCGGACGGGGGAGCGCUGGCGGGCCCUGCACGCCGCCGUGGCGGCAACGGGCACCUUCAGCCUCCCAGAUGAGAUCACGGGCUACUGCAACUUCACCAAGCAAACCGUGGCAGCGUACCCCGCCUUCGCGUGGCUGCGCUGUUACAAGGAUGGCGUGGAGGACUGCGCCGAGUUCCUGCGCGGGCACGGCAUCGUGGCGCGGGGCGGGGAGCAGUUCGGAGGAGACGCCAGGUGCGUCAGGGUCAACAUGAUGGACAGGGACGCUGUGUUCAACGUGCUCAUACAGCGUCUCUCCUCCAUAACAUGA
RNAcentral lists this ribosomal RNA (1194 nucleotides) under Triticum aestivum (bread wheat). RNAcentral's name for it is "partial small subunit ribosomal RNA". The record is from RNAcentral. Lineage: Eukaryota; Viridiplantae; Streptophyta; Magnoliopsida; Poales; Poaceae.